GAUGAACGCUAGCUACAGGCUUAACACAUGCAAGUCGCGGGGCAGCAUGGGGGUUGCUUGCAAUCCCCGAUGGCGACCGGCGCACGGGUGAGUAACGCGUAUCCAACCUGCCCUUCACCACGGGAUAACCCGGCGAAAGUCGGACUAAUACCGUAUGUUGUCCAUUGACGGCAUCCGAUUUGGACGAAAGGCUUGGCGGUGAGGGAUGGGGAUGCGUCCGAUUAGCCAGACGGCGGGGUAACGGCCCACCGUGGCUACGAUCGGUAGGGGUUCUGAGAGGAAGGUCCACCACACUGGAACUGAGACACGGUCCAGACUCCUACGGGAGGCAGCAGUGAGGAAUAUUGGUCAAUGGGCGUAAGCCUGAACCAGCCAAGUAGCGUGCAGGAUGACGGCCCUAUGGGUUGUAAACUGCUUUUAUGCGGGGAUAAAGUGGCCCACGUGUGGGCUUUUGCAGGUACCGCAUGAAUAAGGACCGGCUAAUUCCGUG
RNAcentral lists this ribosomal RNA (490 nucleotides) under uncultured bacterium. Its description in RNAcentral is "partial 16S ribosomal RNA". It matches the Rfam family "Bacterial small subunit ribosomal RNA", at positions 28 to 507 of the family's 1533-position model. The record is from RNAcentral.